RNAcentral lists this long non-coding RNA (555 nucleotides) under Prunus persica (peach). Its description in RNAcentral is "long non-coding RNA (PPER_LNC000859)". Lineage: Eukaryota; Viridiplantae; Streptophyta; Magnoliopsida; Rosales; Rosaceae. The record is from RNAcentral.
UUUUUGGCACCGUUGCCGAGGAUGCUAAGUUAAUUUAAAAUUUGGAUUCCUAAUUUAUGUAUAAUUGAGUUUGUUUGUAGUUUGUUUUUUGUUUUAUUAUUUUAUUAUUACUAUUAUUUUUAAUUCCUAUUUUGUUUCUUAUUUUACUAUUUUUAUUAAUAAUUUUUCUCUUAGUGCGUUUUGGUUUUAGCUAAUACAAUAUUGGAAAAAAAAAAAAGAGAGAAGGAAGACAACUUUCCUGUGGCGUAUUGGAUAAGACCACACAUUCAACUAAAGAAAGGGCAAAUCGUGAAAUAAAAAUGGGAAAAGUAAAGCAAUUCCUUCAUGUAGCAACUUCAUCUCUCAAUUAGAGAAUUCCAAACCCGCCAACUAUCAAGAUAUUAUUCUCUUUCAAUUGGGAAUUAUUUUCUCAUUCCAACAAAGAAAAGAGACAUCACGACAAAGCGAAGUCACUGUUUUCAAGUAGCAGCUCCACACCCUGCAAGCAUCACUACUUUUUGCUUUCAAUCAAAAAGUCCCCUUCUUCAAAUUGGAAUCUUUAGUUCUAGUCCAAAU